Molecule: long non-coding RNA, 276 nt
Organism: Macrobrachium nipponense
Lineage: Eukaryota; Metazoa; Arthropoda; Malacostraca; Decapoda; Palaemonidae
Exons: 3
Source: RefSeq, a predicted model, not a curated record
CGCACAAAAAGCUGUAGAGUUUGCUCCUCAGGCUGGACAGAAGCUUGAUAGGGUCUUGUACCGAAUUGACUCCGAGAUACGACGAACAGGACGAAUCUCCAGGAAAGAGGUUGAGGAUGUCAUUGGAGAGCUGAAGUACACAAAAUUCGCAUCAGGUACCCAGUCAUUGUUGGUGCUGCGCUGUUUAGGUAGUUUAUUGACCGAAGAGCUUCCAGAAGUUCGGAACAAACUUGUCCAAGAAGUCUGGGAUACUCUCUUAAAAUUCAAUGUACCCCC